Molecule: ribosomal RNA, 1243 nt
Filed under: metagenome
Description: bacterial LSU rRNA
Rfam family: Bacterial large subunit ribosomal RNA
Source: RNAcentral
UGAAUACGAGAUGCUACGGCGUCGAAGCAGUCUAUGUCAUACUUCCAAGAAAAGCUUGCACUGUCAUAAACAAAUAAUGCCUGUACCAUAACCGACACAGGUGGGUAGGUAGAGUAUACUAAGGGGCGCGAGAUAACUCUCUCUAAGGAACUCGGCAAAAUGACUCCGUAACUUCGGGAGAAGGAGUGCCUUAUUUAUAAGGUUGCAAUAACAAGAUCCAAGCAACUGUUUACCAAAAACACAGGUCUCCGCUAAGUCGUAAGACGAUGUAUGGGGGCUGACGCCUGCCCAGUGCCAGAAGGUUAAAGAAGUUGGUUAGCAUCCGCGAAGCUGAUAACUGAAGCCCUGGUGAACGGCGGCCGUAACAAUAACGGUCCUAAGGCAGCGAAAUUCCUUGUCGGGUAAGUUCCGACCCGCACGAAAGGCGUAAUGAUUUGGAUACUGUCUCGGAGAGGGGCUCGGUGAAAUAGACUUGUCUGUGAAGAUGCGGACUACCUGCACCAGGACAGAAAGACCCUAUGAAGCUUUACUGUAACCUGAAAUUGAAAUUGGACUUUACUUGCGCAGUAUAGGUGGGAGGCGUUGAGAGUAUUCUUGCGGGAUUAUUGGAGCCAUCAGUGAGAUACCACUCUUGUAAUGUUAGAUUUCUAACUUUGUAUCAUUAUCUGGUCAAAGAACAGUUUCAGGCGGGCAGUUUGACUGGGGCGGUCGCCUCCUAAACGGUAACGGAGGCGCACAAAGGUUUCCUCUGAACGGGUAGAAAUCGUAUCUAGAGUGUAAAGGCAUAAGGAAGCUUGACUGUGAGACCUACAAGUCGAGCAGGGACGAAAGUCGGUCUUAGUGAUCUGACGGUGCUGAGUGGAAAGGCCGUCACUCAACGGAUAAAAGUUACUCUAGGAUAACAGGCUGAUCUCCCCCAAGAGUUCACAUCGACGGGGAGGUUUGGCACCUCGAUGUCGGCUCAUCGCAUCCUGGGGCGGUAGUACGUCCCAAGGGUUGGGCUGUUCGCCCAUGAAAGCGGUACGCGAGCUGGGUUCAGAACGUCGUGAGACAGUUCGGUCCAUAUCCGGUGUAGGCGUUAGAAUAUUGAGAGGAGCCUUCUUUAGUACGAGAGGACCGAGAAGGACAUACCUCUGGUGUACCAGUUAUCGUGCCAACGGUAAACGCUGGGUAGCUAUGUGUGGAGUGGAUAACCGCUGAAAGCAUCUAAGUGGGAAGCCCACCUCAAGAUAAGUAUUCUCAU